UUAAGAUAGUAAGAGCAUACGGUGGAUGCCUUGGCGAUAUCUGCCGAUGAAGGACGCGACAAGCUGCGAAAAGCUGCGGUGAGGUGCAAAUGACCUUUGACCCGCAGAUGUCCGAAUGGAGCAAUCCGGCUGUGGUUAUGCACAGUCACCCAUGCCUGUGAGUAUGGGAGGGAACCAGGCGAACUGAAACAUCUAAGUAGCCUGAGGAGAAGUAAUCAAACGAGAUACCCCCAGUAGCGGCGAGCGAACGGGGCAGAAGCCCAAACCGCAGAAGGAAACUUUUACGGGGUUGAGGGCCGUCAUACGAACGUGGAAUCCAGCUGAAGCUUCUGGGAAGGAGCGCCGCAGGAUGUGAAAGCCAUGUAAGCGAAAGAGGAAGCGGAACAGACGGUACCAGAGUACCGCGGGACACGAGAAACCCCGUGGGAAGCAGGGGGGACCACCCUCCAAGGCAAAACACAGAUAUCGACCGAUAGCGCAUAGUACCAUGAGGGAAAGGUGAAAAGCACCCCGGGAGGGGAAUGAAACAGAACCUGAAACCGUAUGUUUACAAGCAGUCGGAGACCGUAUAUAUAUCAGGUCGACGGCGUGCCUAUUGAAGAAUGAACCGGCGAGUUAUGAGGUCCAGCGAGGUUAAGCAGGAAAUGCGGAGCCGAAGCGAAAGCGAGUCUUAACAGGGCGAGUAGUUGGACUGCAUAGACCCGAAACCACAGUGAUCUACCCAUGUCCAGGUUGAAGCACAGGUAAAAAUGUGUGGAGGACCGAACCUAUAUCCGUUGAAAAGGGUUAGGAUGAGGUGUGGGUAGGGGUGAAAUUCCAAUCGAACGUGGAGAUAGCUGGUUCUCCCCGAAAUAGCUUUAGGGCUAGCCUCAGGGUAAAGAUUGCAGGCGGUAGAGCACUGAUCAGGAGAGGGACCUACCCGGUUACCAAACCCAGUCAAACUACGAAUGGCUGCAAUUAUACCUGGGAGUCAGACUACGACUUAUAAGGGCCGUGGUCAAAAGGGAAACAGCCCAGAUCAUCAGCUAAGGUCCCAAAUGCCGUGCUAAGUGGCGAAGGAUGUGGCGUUUCAUAAACAACCAGGAUGUUGGCUCAGAAGCAGCCACCAUUUAAAGAGUGCGUAAUAGCUCACUGGUCGAGAGACGCUGCGCCGAAAAUGUCCGGGGCUCAAGCACGGAACCGAAGCUAUGGCAUUGCGUAAGCAAUGGGUAGGGGAGCGUUCUUAUGGGGAAGAAGCAUUACCGUAAGGAGAUGUGGACACAUAAGAAGUGAGAAUGCCGGUAUGAGUAUCGAAAAGAAAGGUGAGAAUCCUUUCCACCGAAAGCCCGAGGGUUCCUGAGCAACGAUCGUCGUCUCAGGGUAAGUCGGGACCUAAGCCGAGGCACAGACGCAUAGGCGAUGGACAACAGGUUGAAAUUCCUGUACCGGAUGGAGUCAUUUGAGCAAUGGAGUGACGCAGGAGGGCACAUGAUCGCGCGACUGGAAGAGCGCGUCCAAGUGCGUAUGUUGAAUCGGAGGCAAAUCCCCGAUUCUGAAAGCAGAGACAUGAUGGGGAGUUAUAAGCGAUUAUGACGAACUCAUGGAUCCCACACUGCCAAGAAAAACUUCUAGCGAGACGAAAUCCGCCCGUACCGUAAACCGACACAGGUAGGCGGGGAGAGAAUCCUAAGGUGCGCGGGAAAACCCUCGUUAAGGAACUCGGCAAAUUGCAUCCGUAACUUCGGGAGAAGGAUGGCCCUGAGUAGGCGAAGUGCAGAAACGCACGGAACAGAAAAGGGUGGCAGAAAAGAGGCCCAAGCAACUGUUUACCAAAAACACAGGUGCCUGCGAAAGCGAAAGCUGAAGUAUAGGUGCUGACGCCUGCCCGGUGCUGGAAGGUUAAGGGGAGAGGUUAGCGCAAGCGAAGCUUUGAACUUAAGCCCCAGUAAACGGCGGCCGUAACUAUAACGGUCCUAAGGUAGCGAAAUUCCUUGUCGGGU
Molecule: ribosomal RNA, 1979 nt
Filed under: human gut metagenome
Description: bacterial LSU rRNA
Rfam family: Bacterial large subunit ribosomal RNA
Source: RNAcentral